CACAUCUCAUCUCCUGACUAGCGGAGCAAUCCGCACUUCUGCAAGCAACUGCCCGAAUUCGGCGUCGUUCUGAGCGCCGCCGCUGCCACCAUUUUGUCCAAGCGACACCUGUAACGAGCGAGGAUGCCGGCGUUCAAGACGCCCUUUUGCGGCUACGCCGUUCGGUUCAGCCCCUUCUACGAGUCCCGGCUGGCGGUGGCUACUGCCCAGAAUUUCGGUAUCGUCGGCAACGGCCGCCUCCACAUCCUUGAGCUCUCCGCUGGCCCGCCAGGCGCCGCCGGAGGCGGAAUCGUCCCUACGGCCGCCUUCGACACUGCGGACGCUAUCUACGACUGCGCCUGGUGCGAGGACAACGACCAACUGCUGGUGGCGGCGGUGGCGGACGGAUCGCUUAAAGUGUACGACCUCUCCCUCCCACCCCAAUCCAAUCCUGUUCGGUCCUUCCACGAGCACUCCCGGGAGGUUCACGCCGUUGAUUGGAACCCUGUACGGAAAGAUUCCUUCCUCUCCGCCUCCUGGGACGAUUCCUUGAAGCUCUGGACCCUCGAUCGGCCGCUCAGCCUCCGGACACUCCGGGGCCACAGCUACUGCGUCUACUCUGUGGCCUGGAGCCCCCGCCACGCUGACGUCCUAGCGUCGGCCUCCGGUGACGGCACCCUCCGCCUGUGGGACAUCCGCGAGCCAGAAGCCACGCUGGUCCUCCCCGCUCACGAGCUUGAGAUCCUCGCCUGCGACUGGGAUAAGUACUCCGACUGUAUCGUCGUUACUGGCUCCGUCGACAAGUCGAUACGUGUCUGGGACGUUCGCAGCCCCCGUGCGCCAAUUACGGAGAUGCUCGGCCACGGCUACGCCAUCCGCCGCCUUCGGUGCUCGCCACACCGUGAGGGUUUCGUGGCGUCGUGCUCGUAUGAUAUGAGCGUCAGGUUGUGGAACUACCGGGCGGUCGAUGACAGCGCUACCACUGUCGCGAGAUGGGAUCACCACACGGAGUUCGCUGUCGGAGUGGACAUGAGCGUGCUGGUUGAUGGCUUGAUGGCCAGCACCGGGUGGGACGAACUCGUCUACGUCUGGCAGAUCGGAACCGAUCCCAGGGCUCCCUGACUCCGUACUGCAGUGCUAUUUGAAGAAACAUGGAUGGAUUAAGGAAUCUGCUAAACAUGCUGAUAAAUUAUCAGCACAUUCAGAUCUCAAGCCAAGUUAAGCUUGGGAUUUGGUCAAUCUUGCAGACUAUAUUUACCUUUCUCAGAUUUUCUGCUUGUUCUAGUUAAGGUAAAGUUGGAGAAAACCGUAAAUGUUGGUGAUAUUUUAAGAAGUUCAUGAUUGUAUCGUCAAGACUGCCAGCAGUGCCAAAAUAGUACAAACGCUAAUAUCAGGAAAAGCUUGUGAUAUGGUCAUGCUGCUAAAAAUCAAAUGUCGGAAUAACAUCGUGAGGCUUUCCCUAGUUCCAAGGAAAAUCCCUUUCUUACAAGCAAAUGUACAUUGUACAAUUUUUCGUUUCUUUUACAAUUUUAAACUUUGGUAUGAAUGAUUGUCUAUAUUUUUGUAAGAAAAGUUUAAUAACCUUUUUGUUUCUUAUAUAUUUUAAUUUUUCUGAAUUCUGGA
Molecule: RNA transcript, 1602 nt
Organism: Nymphaea colorata (pocket water lily)
Lineage: Eukaryota; Viridiplantae; Streptophyta; Magnoliopsida; Nymphaeales; Nymphaeaceae
Gene name: peroxisome biogenesis protein 7
Exons: 4
Source: RefSeq, a predicted model, not a curated record